GGGCCCGCACAAGCGGUGGAGCAUGUGGUUUAAUUCGAUGAUACGCGAGGAACCUUACCAGGGCUUAAAUGUAGUGGGACAGGUCUAGAGAUAGACCCUUCUUCGGACUCAUUACAAGGUGCUGCAUGGUUGUCGUCAGCUCGUGCCGUGAGGUGUCAGGUUAAGUCCUAUAACGAGCGCAACCCCUAUCGUUAGUUGCCAGCGAGUAAUGUCGGGAACUCUAACGAAACUGCCAGUGCAAACUGUGAGGAAGGUGGGGAUGACGUCAAAUCAUCACGGCCCUUACGUCCUGGCUACACACGUGCUACAAUGGCCGGUACAGAGAGCAGCCACUGGGUGACCAGGAGCG
This 349-nucleotide ribosomal RNA is filed under the name uncultured bacterium. Its description in RNAcentral is "bacterial SSU rRNA". It matches the Rfam family "Bacterial small subunit ribosomal RNA", at positions 917 to 1269 of the family's 1533-position model. The record is from RNAcentral.